This 561-nucleotide ribosomal RNA is filed under the name Alternaria alternata. Its description in RNAcentral is "eukaryotic LSU rRNA". The stretch from base 184 to 337 matches the Rfam family "5.8S ribosomal RNA". The record is from RNAcentral. Lineage: Eukaryota; Fungi; Ascomycota; Dothideomycetes; Pleosporales; Pleosporaceae.
UUACUGCGGAGGACAUUACACAAAUAUGAAGGCGGGCUGGAACCUCUCGGGGUUACAGCCUUGCUGAAUUAUUCACCCUUGUCUUUUGCGUACUUCUUGUUUCCUUGGUGGGUUCGCCCACCACUAGGACAAACAUAAACCUUUUGUAAUUGCAAUCAGCGUCAGUAACAAAUUAAUAAUUACAACUUUCAACAACGGAUCUCUUGGUUCUGGCAUCGAUGAAGAACGCAGCGAAAUGCGAUAAGUAGUGUGAAUUGCAGAAUUCAGUGAAUCAUCGAAUCUUUGAACGCACAUUGCGCCCUUUGGUAUUCCAAAGGGCAUGCCUGUUCGAGCGUCAUUUGUACCCUCAAGCUUUGCUUGGUGUUGGGCGUCUUGUCUCUAGCUUUGCUGGAGACUCGCCUUAAAGUAAUUGGCAGCCGGCCUACUGGUUUCGGAGCGCAGCACAAGUCGCACUCUCUAUCAGCAAAGGUCUAGCAUCCAUUAAGCCUUUUUUUCAACUUUUGACCUCGGAUCAGGUAGGGAUACCCGCUGAACUUAAGCAUAUCAAAAGGGGGGAAAGAA